ACCUGCCAUCGCUUCCUCCGCCAAUCAGACGGCGUGUUUGGGCCGAGAGCCCUCCCCGGCCAAUCGGGAGCCGGCUGAGCCACUUAGUUAAUGAUGCAGCAGUACAGGGAAGACUAUCACAUGUGAGCUGGAAGGCUGCCAACAUGGAGACACGGAGAGAGCAAGCUGGUGUGGAAGCGUCUGGAAGGCACCGUGUACCUGUCCCCAGUGCUUUUAAAAACUGGCCGACGUGCCCUGCAAUGAUCACUGCGUCACCGUUUGCCACUUUCCGAACUACGCAGUGGCAAAGCCCCGAGCCCAGCUCACAGGGUGGCUGUUAACCCCUGCACCCAGCCCUGCCUCCACGCCAGCCCUCGGGGGGACGGCAGGGAAUAAAAAGCCCGAGCAAAACACGAAAACAGCAGUCUGCAAAGUUGUCAUCUCUCCCCCACGACUACUGCCCUCCUCUGCAUUACAGCAAUGCCGGCAAGAGUGGCAUUCGUACAACCUGUACCGAUGUUCCAUUGAGAAAACAGCUCUGACGCAGAGCAGAGCAAUCAUACCCAGCCGAAAUAAUAAUGAAGGCACUUGGGGAGCUGAACUUAGGGACGAUGGGGGAAGGGGACGCCCUGCAAAGCAUUACAAAACGUAGAUGCAGCUCCAGCCCCAUCCUGAUCAAAGG
This 661-nucleotide long non-coding RNA is filed under the name Gallus gallus (chicken). RNAcentral's name for it is "lncRNA (ENSGALG00010027844.1)". The record is from RNAcentral. Lineage: Eukaryota; Metazoa; Chordata; Aves; Galliformes; Phasianidae.